RNAcentral lists this ribosomal RNA (500 nucleotides) under uncultured bacterium. RNAcentral describes it as "partial 16S ribosomal RNA". It matches the Rfam family "Bacterial small subunit ribosomal RNA", at positions 30 to 523 of the family's 1533-position model. The record is from RNAcentral.
AUUGAACGCUGGUGGAAUGCUUUACACAUGCAAGUCGAACGGCAGCACGGACUUCGGUCUGGUGGCGAGUGGCGAACGGGUGAGUAAUGUAUCGGAACGUGCCCAGUCGUGGGGGAUAACGUAGUGAAAAUUACGCUAAUACCGCAUACGAUCUAUGGAUGAAAGCGGGGGAUCGCAAGACCUCGCGCGAUUGGAGCGGCCGAUAUCAGAUUAGGUAGUUGGUGGGGUAAAGGCCCACCAAGCCAACGAUCUGUAGCUGGUCUGAGAGGACGACCAGCCACACUGGAACUGAGACACGGUCCAGACUCCUACGGGAGGCAGCAGUGGGGAAUUUUGGACAAUGGGCGAAAGCCUGAUCCAGCCAUUCCGCGUGCAGGAUGAAGGCCCUCGGGUUGUAAACUGCUUUUGUACAGAACGAAAAGGUUUCUACUAAUACUAGGAGCUCAUGACGGUACUGUAAGAAUAAGCACCGGCUAACUACGUGCCAGCCGCCGCGGUAA